This is a long non-coding RNA of Rhincodon typus (whale shark), 404 nucleotides long. RefSeq lists it as uncharacterized. The record is from RefSeq and is a predicted model, not a curated record. The transcript is spliced from 3 exons. NCBI's taxonomy places the organism in Eukaryota, Metazoa, Chordata, Chondrichthyes, Orectolobiformes, Rhincodontidae.
CUCUCUCUCUGUAGAUGAUGAAGCUUUCCUGAUCUUUGCUAACCGUUACUAUCUGAGGAAACUCAAUCUCGAUGGCUCCAACUACACAUUGUUAAAGCAGGGACUGAACAACGCAGUGGCUUUGGAUUUCAAUCAUGAGGAGAAGCACAUCUACUGGACAGAUGUCACCACACAGGGAAGCAUGAUUCGGAGGAUGCAUCUCAACGGGAGCAACGUCGAGGUCCUCCAUCGCACGGGGCUCAGUAAUCCUGAUGGACUGGCCGUGGACUGGGUCGGUGGGAACCUGUACUGGUGUGACAAGGGGAGAGAUACCAUCGAAGUGUCGAAACUGAGUGGGGACUAUCGCACAGUACUGGUAAAUUCAGGGCUGAGGGAGCCCCGCGCUCUCGCUGUGGAUGUGAGGA